This 1245-nucleotide ribosomal RNA is filed under the name Proteobacteria bacterium 2EP8. RNAcentral describes it as "bacterial SSU rRNA". It matches the Rfam family "Bacterial small subunit ribosomal RNA", at positions 100 to 1343 of the family's 1533-position model. Lineage: Bacteria; Pseudomonadati; Pseudomonadota. The record is from RNAcentral.
GGGUUGCUGAUGCCUACUCUAUUGCCUUCCUGUGAGGGAUAACCUUUGGAAACAAUGGAUAAUACCCCACAAGGCCUGUGGGCCAAAGAUUGGGACCUUUUGACCUCUCUCGUCAAGAUAUGCCAUGUUGGGAUUAGCUUGUUGGUGAGGUAAUGGCUCACCAAGGCGACGAUCCCUAGGUGGUCUGAGAGGAUGAUCCUCCACCCUGGAACUGACUCCCGGUCCAGACUCCUACGGGAGGCUUGCUGGGGAAUAUUGCACAAUGGGCGAAAGCCUGAUGCAACCAUGCCGCGUGAAUGAAUAAGGCCUUCGGGUUGUAAAGUACUUUCAGUUGUGAGGAAGGGGGUAACGUUAAUACCGUUAUCUCUUGACGUUAGCAACCGAAGAAUCACCGGCUAACUCCGUGCCUCCAGCCGCGGUGAUACGGAGGGUGCCAGCGUUAAUCUGAAUUACUGGGCGUAAAACGCAGGCGCGUGGUUCAUUAACUCAGAUGUGAACGCCCGGGGCUCAACCUCGGAACUGCAUUUGAAACUGGUGAACUAGAGUGCUGUAGAGGGGGGUAGAAUUUCAGGUGUAGCGGUGAAAUGCCGUACAGAUCUGAAGGAAUACCAGCUGGCGAAGGCGGCCCCCUGGACAGACAAUGACAAUCAGAUGAGAAAGCGUGGGGAGCAAACAGGAUUUGAUACCCUGGUAGUCCACGCCGUAAACGAUCUCUACUUGGAGGUUGCGUCCCUGAGCUUUGGCUUUCGGAGCUAACGCGUUAAGUAGACCGCCUGGGGAGUACGGUCGCAAGGAUUAAAACUCAAAUGAAUUGACGGGGGCCCGCACAAGCGGUGGAGCAUGUGGUUUAAUUCGAUGCAACGCGAAGAACCUUACAUACUCUUGACAUCCAGAGAAGCCAGCGGAGACGCAGGUGUGCCUUCGGGAACUGGGAGACAGGUGGUGCAUGGCUGUCGUCAGCUCGUUUUGUGAAAUGUUGGGUUAAGUCCCGCAACGAGCGCAACCCUUAUCCUUGUUUGCCAGCGAGUAAUGUCGGGAACUCCAGGGAGACUGCCGGUGAUAAACCGGAGGAAGGUGGGGACGACGUCAAGUCAUCAUGGCCCUUACGAGUAGGGUUACACCCGUGUUCCAAUGGCGCAUACAGAGGGCAGCAAGCUAGGGAUAGUGAGUGAAUCCCAAAAAGUGGUUUCUAGUCCGGAUUGGGUUUUGCAAUUGGACUCCAUGAAUUCGGAAUCGUUAGUAAUC